This 253-nucleotide ribosomal RNA is filed under the name uncultured bacterium. RNAcentral describes it as "partial 16S ribosomal RNA". It matches the Rfam family "Bacterial small subunit ribosomal RNA", at positions 524 to 776 of the family's 1533-position model. The record is from RNAcentral.
UACGUAGGGGGCAAGCGUUGUCCGGAAUCAUUGGGCGUAAAGCGCGCGUAGGCGGCCCGGUACGUCCGCUCUGAAAGUCCAAGGCUCAACCUUGGAAUGCGGGUGGAUACUGCCGGGCUAGAGUCCGGAAGAGGCGAGUGGAAUUCCUGGUGUAGCGGUGGAAUGCGCAGAUAUCAGGAGGAACACCAAUAGCGAAGGCAGCUCGCUGGGACGGUACUGACGCUAAGGCGCGAAAGCGUGGGGAGCGAACAGG